RNAcentral lists this ribosomal RNA (468 nucleotides) under uncultured bacterium. RNAcentral's name for it is "partial 16S ribosomal RNA". It matches the Rfam family "Bacterial small subunit ribosomal RNA", at positions 28 to 507 of the family's 1533-position model. The record is from RNAcentral.
GACGAACGCUGGCGGCGUGCUUAACACAUGCAAGUCGAACGGAAAGGCCCUGCUUUUGUGGGGUGCUCGAGUGGCGAACGGGUGAGUAACACGUGAGUAACCUGCCCUUGACUUUGGGAUAACUUCAGGAAACUGGGGCUAAUACCGGAUAGGAGCUCCUGCUGCAUGGUGGGGGUUGGAAAGUUUCGGCGGUUGGGGAUGGACUCGCGGGUUAUCAGCUUGUUGGUGGGGUAGUGGCUUACCAAGGCUUUGACGGGUAGCCGGCCUGAGAGGGUGACCGGCCACAUUGGGACUGCGGUACGGCCCAGACUCCUACGGGAGGCAGCAGUGGGGAAUAUUGCACAAUGGGCGGAAGCCUGAUGCAGCAACGCCGCGUGCGGGAUGACGGCCUUCGGGUUGUAAACCGCUUUCGCCUGUGACGAAGCGUGAGUGACGGUAAUGGGUAAAGAAGCACCGGCUAACUACGUG